This is a long non-coding RNA of Ailuropoda melanoleuca (giant panda), 332 nucleotides long. RefSeq lists it as uncharacterized. NCBI's taxonomy places the organism in Eukaryota, Metazoa, Chordata, Mammalia, Carnivora, Ursidae. The record is from RefSeq and is a predicted model, not a curated record. The transcript has 4 exons.
CCGGAUUUUCGCGCCUGCUGCCAUCUUGAGGAGGGGAAAGACCGCAGCAAGCCUAGGUUGGAGAUCUCAGUUCACUGACCUAUAGGGUCCUCCGGUAGUUUAAAGAAACGCCCUGCUUACCAUUAAGGCAUAGCGAGAGUCAGGAAGAAUGAAGAUCCAAUAUAAAGAAGGUGGGAAGACUUGGAGGUGCCCUUGGGUGUAGAAAAGAGGUUUCUGUCUUUAGAAGGCCUUUCCACAUCAAAAUGACAUCUUUGGCAUUUGUAGAGGUGUGAGGUACUGUUUUAAAAUCCUUUACAAGGGGCGCCUGGGUGGCACAGCGGUUAAGCGUCUGC